RNAcentral lists this ribosomal RNA (511 nucleotides) under uncultured bacterium. RNAcentral describes it as "partial 16S ribosomal RNA". It matches the Rfam family "Bacterial small subunit ribosomal RNA", at positions 28 to 523 of the family's 1533-position model. The record is from RNAcentral.
GACGAACGCUGGCGGCGUGCUUACACAUGCAAGUUGAACGGUAAGGCCCUUCGGGGUACACGAGUGGCAAACGGGUGAGUAACACGUGGGUGACCUGCCUUCGAGUGGGGGAUAACGUCCCGAAAGGGACGCUAAUACCGCAUGACAUCCUGCUUUUGGAAAAGCGGAGAUCAAAGCUGGGGAUCGAAAGACCUGGCGCUUGAAGAGGGGCCCGCGCCUGAUUAGCUAGUGGGUGGGGUAAGGGCUCACCAAGGCAACGAUCAGUAUCCGGCCUGAGGGGGCGGACGGACGAACUGGGACGGAGCCACGGCCCAGACUCCUACGGGAGGCAGCAGUGGGGAAUUUUGGACAAUGGGGGCAACCCUGAUCCAGCCAUGCCGCGUGAGUGAAGAAGGCCUUCGGGUUGUAAAGCUCUUUCGGCCGGGAAGAAAUCGUGUGGGCUAAUACCCUGCAUGGAUGACGGUACCGGAAUAAGAAGCACCGGCUAACUACGUGCCAGCCGCCGCCGUAA